AUACGUAGGGGGCGAGCGUUGUCCGGAAUGAUUGGGCGUAAAGGGCGCGUAGGCGGCCCGGUAAGUCUGGAGUGAAAGUCCUGUUUUUAAGAUGGGAAUUGCUUUGGAUACUGUCGGGCUUGAGUGCAGGAGAGGUAAGUGGAAUUCCCAGUGUAGCGGUGAAAUGCGUAGAGAUUGGGAGGAACACCAGUGGCGAAGGCGACGUACUGGACUGUAACUGACGCUGAGGCGCGAAAGUGUGGGGAGCAAACAGGAUUAGAUACCCUGGUAGUCCACACUGUAAACGAUGAAUGCUAGGUGUAGGGGGUAGCGACCCCUUCUGUGCCGCAGUCAACACAAUAAGCAUUCCGCCUGGGGAGUACGGCCGCAAGGUUGAAACUCAAAUGAAUUGACGGGG
Molecule: ribosomal RNA, 397 nt
Filed under: uncultured bacterium
Lineage: Bacteria
Description: partial 16S ribosomal RNA
Rfam family: Bacterial small subunit ribosomal RNA
Source: RNAcentral